This 2906-nucleotide ribosomal RNA is filed under the name Salmonella enterica subsp. enterica serovar Senftenberg. Its description in RNAcentral is "bacterial LSU rRNA". It matches the Rfam family "Bacterial large subunit ribosomal RNA". Lineage: Bacteria; Pseudomonadati; Pseudomonadota; Gammaproteobacteria; Enterobacterales; Enterobacteriaceae. The record is from RNAcentral.
UUAAGCGACUAAGCGUACACGGUGGAUGCCCUGGCAGUCAGAGGCGAUGAAGGACGUGCUAAUCUGCGAUAAGCGCCGGUAAGGUGAUAUGAACCGUUAUAACCGGCGAUUUCCGAAUGGGGAAACCCAGUGUGAUUCGUCACACUAUCAUUAACUGAAUCCAUAGGUUAAUGAGGCGAACCGGGGGAACUGAAACAUCUAAGUACCCCGAGGAAAAGAAAUCAACCGAGAUUCCCCCAGUAGCGGCGAGCGAACGGGGAGGAGCCCAGAGCCUGAAUCAGCAUGUGUGUUAGUGGAAGCGUCUGGAAAGGCGCGCGAUACAGGGUGACAGCCCCGUACACAAAAGCGCAUGUGCUGUGAGCUCGAUGAGUAGGGCGGGACACGUGGUAUCCUGUCUGAAUAUGGGGGGACCAUCCUCCAAGGCUAAAUACUCCUGACUGACCGAUAGUGAACCAGUACCGUGAGGGAAAGGCGAAAAGAACCCCGGCGAGGGGAGUGAAAAAGAACCUGAAACCGUGUACGUACAAGCAGUGGGAGCACAGGUUUACCUGUGUGACUGCGUACCUUUUGUAUAAUGGGUCAGCGACUUAUAUUCUGUAGCAAGGUUAACCGAAUAGGGGAGCCGGAGGGAAACCGAGUCUUAAUUGGGCGUUAAGUUGCAGGGUAUAGACCCGAAACCCGGUGAUCUAGCCAUGGGCAGGUUGAAGGUUGGGUAACACUAACUGGAGGACCGAACCGACUAAUGUUGAAAAAUUAGCGGAUGACCUGUGGCUGGGGGUGAAAGGCCAAUCAAACCGGGAGAUAGCUGGUUCUCCCCGAAAGCUAUUUAGGUAGCGCCUCGUGAAUUCAUCUCCGGGGGUAGAGCACUGUUUCGGCUAGGGGGCCAUCCCGGCUUACCAACCCGAUGCAAACUGCGAAUACCGGAGAAUGUUAUCACGGGAGACACACGGCGGGUGCUAACGUCCGUCGUGAAGAGGGAAACAACCCAGACCGCCAGCUAAGGUCCCAAAGUCAUGGUUAAGUGGGAAACGAUGUGGGAAGGCCCAGACAGCCAGGAUGUUGGCUUAGAAGCAGCCAUCAUUUAAAGAAAGCGUAAUAGCUCACUGGUCGAGUCGGCCUGCGCGGAAGAUGUAACGGGGCUAAACCAUGCACCGAAGCUGCGGCAGCGACGCUGAUGUGUUGUUGGGUAGGGGAGCGUUCUGUAAGCCUGCGAAGGUGGCCUGUGAGGGUUGCUGGAGGUAUCAGAAGUGCGAAUGCUGACAUAAGUAACGAUAAAGCGGGUGAAAAGCCCGCUCGCCGGAAGACCAAGGGUUCCUGUCCAACGUUAAUCGGGGCAGGGUGAGUCGACCCCUAAGGCGAGGCCGAAAGGCGUAGUCGAUGGGAAACGGGUUAAUAUUCCCGUACUUGGUGUUACUGCGAAGGGGGGACGGAGAAGGCUAUGUUGGCCGGGCGACGGUUGUCCCGGUUUAAGCGUGUAGGUGUGUGUUCCAGGUAAAUCCGGUUCACUUUAACACUGAGGCGUGAUGACGAGGCACUACGGUGCUGAAGCAACAAAUGCCCUGCUUCCAGGAAAAGCCUCUAAGCAUCAGGUAACAUCAAAUCGUACCCCAAACCGACACAGGUGGUCAGGUAGAGAAUACCAAGGCGCUUGAGAGAACUCGGGUGAAGGAACUAGGCAAAAUGGUGCCGUAACUUCGGGAGAAGGCACGCUGACACGUAGGUGAAGUGAUUUACUCACGGAGCUGAAGUCAGUCGAAGAUACCAGCUGGCUGCAACUGUUUAUUAAAAACACAGCACUGUGCAAACACGAAAGUGGACGUAUACGGUGUGACGCCUGCCCGGUGCCGGAAGGUUAAUUGAUGGGGUCAGCGCAAGCGAAGCUCCUGAUCGAAGCCCCGGUAAACGGCGGCCGUAACUAUAACGGUCCUAAGGUAGCGAAAUUCCUUGUCGGGUAAGUUCCGACCUGCACGAAUGGCGUAAUGAUGGCCAGGCUGUCUCCACCCGAGACUCAGUGAAAUUGAACUCGCUGUGAAGAUGCAGUGUACCCGCGGCAAGACGGAAAGACCCCGUGAACCUUUACUAUAGCUUGACACUGAACAUUGAGCCUUGAUGUGUAGGAUAGGUGGGAGGCUUUGAAGUGUGGACGCCAGUCUGCAUGGAGCCAACCUUGAAAUACCACCCUUUAAUGUUUGAUGUUCUAACGUGGACCCGUUACCCGGGUUGCGGACAGUGUCUGGUGGGUAGUUUGACUGGGGCGGUCUCCUCCUAAAGAGUAACGGAGGAGCACGAAGGUUGGCUAAUCCUGGUCGGACAUCAGGAGGUUAGUGCAAUGGCAUAAGCCAGCUUGACUGCGAGCGUGACGGCGCGAGCAGGUGCGAAAGCAGGUCAUAGUGAUCCGGUGGUUCUGAAUGGAAGGGCCAUCGCUCAACGGAUAAAAGGUACUCCGGGGAUAACAGGCUGAUACCGCCCAAGAGUUCAUAUCGACGGCGGUGUUUGGCACCUCGAUGUCGGCUCAUCACAUCCUGGGGCUGAAGUAGGUCCCAAGGGUAUGGCUGUUCGCCAUUUAAAGUGGUACGCGAGCUGGGUUUAGAACGUCGUGAGACAGUUCGGUCCCUAUCUGCCGUGGGCGCUGGAGAACUGAGGGGGGCUGCUCCUAGUACGAGAGGACCGGAGUGGACGCAUCACUGGUGUUCGGGUUGUCAUGCCAAUGGCACUGCCCGGUAGCUAAAUGCGGAAGAGAUAAGUGCUGAAAGCAUCUAAGCACGAAACUUGCCCCGAGAUGAGUUCUCCCUGAGACUUAGAGUCUCCUGAAGGAACGUUGAAGACGACGACGUUGAUAGGCCGGGUGUGUAAGCGCAGCGAUGCGUUGAGCUAACCGGUACUAAUGAACCGUGAGGCUUAACCUU